Panicum virgatum (switchgrass) is the source of this 1488-nucleotide long non-coding RNA. RefSeq lists it as uncharacterized. The record is from RefSeq and is a predicted model, not a curated record. The transcript has 2 exons. NCBI's taxonomy places the organism in Eukaryota, Viridiplantae, Streptophyta, Magnoliopsida, Poales, Poaceae.
GGGUUCCAGAUCGAAAAUUAUCAUGAUAUUAGGUAACUUAUUGACUGAAACAUUCAUAAGAAUUUAUAGCUGGAGCACGACUCCUUACACAAGGACUGAAAUCAUCAACAAAGCUAGCAACAUAACACAAAUAGUUACCUAACAUAUCUUGCUCCUAACAUAUAUAUUGACAAAACGUUUAUCCUGAUGCCUGAAAGAAUCACUAAACUUUUAUACCUCGGCUUCCUCGACAUUUCCUUCUUCCUCCCCACUAAUAUCUUGCUCCUCGUCGCCAUGAUAAUGCAAGUUUAAAAAUUGGCUGCCAUCGUUCUCGUCCUCAUCAAACUCUGGAGCUAUGUGCCCAGUACUACCACGAAUGAGCUCGUGCAUUAACUCGUCUUGGUUGUCCGUAGGAUCCAUUUCCACUACCUGAAACAAUAAAAAACAAAGAGAGUGCAUAAGCCCCGAGCAUAAAAAACAAAGAGAGUGCAUUAUUUUUCUCGGAAGAAUAAUUUUCCUCAUUUAUAAACCAUGGAUUAAGAUAUUCUCUAUAUAUAUUUCUUGAUCUAAUUUUGAGUCGGACUAAUUUUGGAUGUCAACACACACUACUAGCCUUAAUCCAUGAUAAGAUCCCAAACAUUAACAAACAUCUCUAGAAACUAAAAGCUCCGCAAAAAUGAAAAUCUUUUGGCGAAAUCUUCGAAGAGGGGUAAUAAUCUUAACAAAAGACAUUGCAUCCUCAUUAAGCAAAUUGGCAGGGUAGUAAAAGUUCUCCUUUUAUCGUACUGACAAAAGGAGACAGUUUUUUUCCAAGUGCCGCCUCACUCAUUUGGUUUGGGCAGCUAUCCAUGUGACUUUAAUUUGGGGCUCCAGCAACUUCGUAGUGGGACACACAGGUUUGGUAAUUGUAGUAGCGACAAUGUGUUAGUCUUUAUGGUUGAGUAGAAAUGAUUUGAUAUUUGAAAACAAACAAAUAUCUUUUUUUUUGCAGGUUAUCUUCGUAGUACCGCACUUGCUUUGUACAUGGCUAUUAUCCAAACACUACUGUAAAAGGCCUAAGCUGGGCCGCAUGUGUCACAAAAAAUAUACUUUACACCAAUAAGCUUACUUUGAAAUUAUGCAAUCAUCUAAUGUUGCCCCUGAUACAUUCACAUGGUAUGCACAUUGUAUGUUCAUCCCUCAUGGAAGCAUUGAAUAAUGGAAGCCAACCUGAAAGGGUCCUACAGUUGAUGAAAUUCAUGAAGCAAAAACAGAUACCGUUGAACCAAAAGGCUUAUUUUGAGAUAAUAGCUUCAUGCAGCAUGCUACGGGAAUGGAAAACAGCCAGUGAAAUAAUUGAGCAAUUGGAUUCCUCCCUCUCAUCCAUUUCUGUUGGCACACUAAACCAUCUUUUGAAUUUUCUUGGAACCGUGCAAGUGAUUGUUUGUCUAAAAAAACAGUAUAGUGAUGACUGUUUUUGUAUUUGCACUGAAUUAAGGAAUGCAUAUUCCUCUAAUCUGUUCACUCAAA